CAUCGAAACGAAAAGGCCCUGGGCACCAUGAGGAGCUUGGCAGGAUGCCACACGAACUAGUGCAUUUCAGCCUUACAAGCCUCCUACGCUGUUGACAAAUUUACAAAGACGUAACACUCAAACUAAAAUUCCUUUACCUUAUGGAGGUGGAGAUGUGACUUUUUAUACAUUAACGGAUCAGGGUGAACUUACAGCUGACAAUAUUCAUGCAGCAACUGUAGAUACACCGGAUGAAAAUGGUCUUACUGGACUUAUGUGGGCAGCUGGUUAUGGCCAAUUAAAUAGUGCAACACUUCUACUAAAGAAUGGGGCAGAUAAAAACUACAAAGGAUCUCAUGGUCAAUCGCAUUUGCAUCUAGCUGCAGCUUAUGGACAUCAUGAUGUUGUAAAAUUGCUCUUGAAUUAUGGUGCUGA
Long non-coding RNA from Nasonia vitripennis (jewel wasp), 414 nucleotides. RefSeq lists it as uncharacterized. The transcript is spliced from 3 exons. Lineage: Eukaryota; Metazoa; Arthropoda; Insecta; Hymenoptera; Pteromalidae. The record is from RefSeq and is a predicted model, not a curated record.